This 71-nucleotide transfer RNA is filed under the name Marmota monax (woodchuck). RNAcentral's name for it is "tRNA.SeC". The record is from RNAcentral. Lineage: Eukaryota; Metazoa; Chordata; Mammalia; Rodentia; Sciuridae.
GAGGCUGUGGCUCAGCGGUAGAGCGCUUGCCUCACACAAGCGCGGCUCUGGAUUCGAUCCUCAGCACCACA